GGCCACACACAUCUGGCUGUCAAAAGGAACACGUUUUGGAAUAAUCAUUUAAUGACAAAUUACUCUAUUAAUAUGUUCUGGGUGGAAGUGCACUGGCCACUCACGGGCCCAAUCUCAGUACCAAUUGGAACAGAAGUUUUGGACCUGUCCCAUUGCUGACCGGGGACUAUUUGACCCUCCCUGAGCAACCUAGUGUCCCCUCCCCACUCCCAGAAGUUCACCAUAUAGGCGCGAGACUUACUGUGGCCACCCAAUCAGUUGGAGCCCCACGGCAGCUCAGAACCCAAGCUCAGUCAAUCCACCAGCCUCAGCCUCCUCAGCAGCAGAGAUUAUAGGAAUGCUCCACCGCUCCCAAUUCAGACUUCACAAUUCAAAAAGGGCUUGAAAAUGAUCUGCUUCCUUCCAGCUGUGCCUGCUCAAUUCACGCAUCUUUCAGAGAGCGCCAAUGUCACAGCAGUGAACAGGCAGAGUUCAAGGGAGAUGAAGCUGUGCCAAUCUUACCUUCACCUACUGAAUACAAAUGCAAGCCCUUAGGAGGGCAUUAAUAAUGCAAAAAUAAAGCAAGGAAGAUGGGUUUAUGCGGACCUCCAAACAUCAGCAAAGGCAGUUGGGGCACACCACAUUGAGUGUGUCUAGGGACACUGACCAUCUGCAUGGAUUCCAGGUCCC
Molecule: non-coding RNA, 669 nt
Organism: Phascolarctos cinereus (koala)
Lineage: Eukaryota; Metazoa; Chordata; Mammalia; Diprotodontia; Phascolarctidae
Source: RefSeq, a predicted model, not a curated record